This 31-nucleotide non-coding RNA is filed under the name Rattus norvegicus (Norway rat). The record is from RNAcentral. Lineage: Eukaryota; Metazoa; Chordata; Mammalia; Rodentia; Muridae.
UGAUGACUGUUCAACACAAAGAUGAGUCCUU